CCUACGGGCGGCAGCAGUGGGGGAUAUUGCACAAUGGAGGAAACUCUGAUGCAGCGACGCCGCGUGAGGGAAGACGGUCCUCGGAUUUUAAACCUCUGUCUGUGGGGAAGAAAAUGACGGUACCCAAAGAGGAAGCUCCGGCUAACUACGUGCCAGCAGCCGCGGUAAUACGUAGGGAGCCAGCGUUGUCCGGAAUUACUGGGUGUAAAGGGAGCGUAGGCGGGCGAGAAAGUUGGAUGUAAAAUCUACCGGCGUAACUGGGAGCUGCGUUCAAAACUGCUUGUCUUGAGUGAAGUAGAGGCAGGCGGAAUUCGUAGUGUAGCGGUGAAAUGCGUAGAUAUUACGAGGAACACCGGUUGCGAAGGCGGCCUGCUGGGCUUCAACUGACGCUGAGGCUCGAAAGCGUGGGGAUCAAACAGGAUUAGAUACCCGAGUAGUC
RNAcentral lists this ribosomal RNA (439 nucleotides) under uncultured bacterium. RNAcentral describes it as "partial 16S ribosomal RNA". It matches the Rfam family "Bacterial small subunit ribosomal RNA", at positions 338 to 795 of the family's 1533-position model. The record is from RNAcentral.